Long non-coding RNA from Schistocerca gregaria, 406 nucleotides. RefSeq lists it as uncharacterized. Lineage: Eukaryota; Metazoa; Arthropoda; Insecta; Orthoptera; Acrididae. The transcript is spliced from 3 exons. The record is from RefSeq and is a predicted model, not a curated record.
GUGAUUUCUGCGACUUACCACUGUAUGAAAAAGUUACAUCUGCCCACACAGAAAAUUGCAUCUCAACAAACCUGUCAUUGGUACCCGAACUACAUUUCAGUCACUCAGUAAAUUGAUAACUCAAAAUAUCAUUGUCAACAGAUCUGGAGAAAUUGCCACUGCGUCUUUAGACCGUUUUCGUCAGACGAGAGACACAGUUCUGACUCUUGAUUACUGGUUGCUGUACGUAUCUAUCCACAUCAAGGCUGUUGAGAGAGACUCGUGAAGAUUCAAGACAGCUCUUAGAGGAUUUGCAGUUUAAAAGUGACAUAAUUGUGAAAUAAGUGUGCAGAUGAGUGAUUAAACUGUGUUUUAUUGAAGUUGUUAUGCGAUUUUAAAGGAAUAAUAAAUGUUAAAUAGAGUGAGU